Molecule: long non-coding RNA, 2605 nt
Filed under: Homo sapiens (human)
Lineage: Eukaryota; Metazoa; Chordata; Mammalia; Primates; Hominidae
Description: HSALNT0009546
Source: RNAcentral
GCCAGAAAGACUGCGUGGCUGGAGCAGAGUAGGAUGAGGAAGAAAAGAAGAAGGGAAGAUCAGAGAGCUAACGGAGGGAGGAGGAGAGUACACAGAGGUCUUUAAAGGCCAUAUAAGAACUUGGACUUUUACUCUGAGGUAGGCGAAGAAUUUAGACACUUGCAUUUCUUUUUGGGAAAGAAAUGCCAUGAUCUGACUUAUGUUUCAAAAGGAUCACUUAUACUUCUUUGUGGGCAAUAGAAUGGAAGGAGGCAAGGGUGGGAAUGGGAAAACAGUUAUAAGACGAUUGCUAAAAUCUAGCAAGUCUGAUGAAAGUGAUAGCCAUGGAGGUGGUGAGGAGUAAUUGGUCUCUGAAUUAUGUUUAGGGUAAACACAGGAAGACUUCCUGGUGAAUCGGAUGUACAGUGGGAGUAAUAAAGAGAGGAAACAAGGGUGACUCAAAGAUUUUUGACCUAAGCACUAGAGGGGUGAAUUUUUCAUCUACUGAGAUGGAAAGCUUUGAGCAGCUCAGAUAUUUGGGAGAAGAUCAGGAGUCACUCUUGAAAAGUUUGAAUGAUCUAAAUGAGAGACUUUGAAUAUAGUUUUGGAGUCUGAGGCAAAGGAGCAUUCAGGGCUGGAGAUGUAAAUUUGGCAACAAAGGGCAUACAGAGGGAGACUGGAUGAGAUCCCCAAAGGAAGGAGAGUGGAUAAAAAAAGAAGCUACAAUCUGGGGCAAGUCAGUCCAGGACUAAGAGGUAUAAGAAAAGAUAAGUCAUUCGCAAAGUUCUGAGACUAGCAACCAGUGAAUUAGGAAGCCUUACAAGCCAAAAAAAUAGAAGUAUCAAGGAGUGGUGCCAUCUCUGUCAAGGGGGGUAAAAUGUGAGAGGACCAAAUGUGGGCCAUGAGAUUUAGCAACCUGAAGUUUAUCUGAGACCUCAGUAAGAGCAAUUUUGUUGAGAGUUAAGACCUGAUUUCAGUGGGUCUGUGAGAGAAUGAGAGGAGAGGAACUGGAUAGAAUUAAUACAGACCCCCUUUCUAAAUGUUUUUCUGCAAAGGCAAAGAGAAAUGGAGUCAUACCUGGUAGGGAGAGAGGGUCCAGUAAAAGGUUUUAUUUCUGUUUUUUCUUGUUUUUGUUGGUUUAGUCUUUUACUUUUUAAGAUAAGUGAGUAACAAUCUUUUGUGCUGAGGAGGAUGACUCAAAAAGUGGAAAGAGUUGACAAGGUAAGAGAUGGGAGAAGACAUGCAGGAUGCCCUUGAGUGGGCCGCAGGUCUUGGAAUCUGGUGCACAUGUGAAGAGAUUGGCUCUAGAAAGACCACAGACAAUUCACCUUUCAAAACAGCAAGAAAAGCACAGUGAGUACACGUGCUUGUGGGAGGGUGAGCAGGUGCAGUAGUGAGAGACUGGGGAAAUUCUCUUUUAAUUGUUUCACUUCUGUCAGUGAAGGAGAAAAAAAGAUUGUGCAUUGAGAGUAAACAUGAGGGAGCAGGUGCUGGAGAUUUAAAAGGGAGGUGAGAAAGGACAGUUGAUUGGGAAAGAGAUAGAAUAGUGGCUCUCAAAGGCAGUCUCCAGAUCAGCAGCAUUGGUAUCACCUGAAGACUUGUUAGUAAUGCAAAAAUCUCAGGCCUUACUUCAAGCUUGAUGAAUCAGGAACUCUGAGGUAGGCGCAGCAGUCUGUGUCUUAGCAAGCCUUGCAGGGAUUCUGAUGCACGCUGAAGUUUGAGUGUCACUGGAAUGGAUGGUGUCCAUAUGAUUGCUGGGUCACUCCGCCUAUCCUGAAUGUCAAGAACAUGCCAGAAAGUCUUUGCUUCCUCUUCGCCUUCCGCCAUGAUUGUAAGUUUCCUGAAGCCUCUCCAGCUGUGCAAAACUAUCAGCAAUGUGGGAGACAGGAGCUUCACCUUCAGGCUGGAUUCCAUGAUGGAGAAAACACAUGGAGCAGACCAGCAGUUAUUUGCAGCUAUCAUGUGAGCUGCUACGACUCCCUAGCCUUAAUCCAGCCCAGAUCUCAGCAGAAACUUAACACCACUCUGGUGACCCUGGAAUUGCAGCAGAGGCUCAAAUCACCAAAUAAGCAAUGCCUGGGGAAGCUCUGGAAGCGUAACCACACUGGGAUGGUGAAGGGGAAUUAGUCAAUGACUUUGGGUAACACCUGGAAUUUGACCUGCAGACUGGAAUACAGCUUCCUAUUAAAAUGUUUCAUUCUUAUAAGUCUUGUGUGCAUUUACGGCUUUAAGGAAGAAAUUCUCUCAGGCUUAAGACAUAAAUUAAAGCCAUAUAGUGUCAGUUUCAAUAAGAGCCUCUGUUUUUCAAAUUUUUUGACUUUCACUUAGAAAGACAACACUGUACUAGGAGGUUACUCUUUUUGAUCAGUCUCAACAUUUUUCUAGCUGUUCUCAACUCCCCUUCAAAAGUAUUUCCCACUAGAAUUACAUGAAUGUUGUGCCCCCAAGGUGAAUGCAGUGUUUGGAACAACAAAAUAUUGAUUUCCCAUUGUGUAACUUCCAUUUAAUUUAAACCAAAAUGCAAGAAGGGGAAAGGGUUGGUAGGAGAGUACGCUGAUAUAACCCUUUCCAGUGAUCCUUAAAAACUUCACACAUUUCCAGUGCUGAAUUUUGUUGACAGACACUU